UGGUCAAUCUAGUGGCGAACGGGUGAGUAACACGUGGGUAACCUGCCCAUCAGAGGGGGAUAACAUCCGGAAACGGAUGCUAAACCGCAUAGGUCUUCGAACCGCAUGGUUUGAAGAGGAAAAGAGGCGCAAGCUUCUGCUGAUGGAUGGACCCGCGGUGCAUUAGCUAGUUGGUGAGGUAACGGCUCACCAAGGCCGUGAUGCAUAGCCGACCUGAGAGGGUGAUCGGCCACAUUGGGACUGAGACACGGCCCAAACUCCUACGGGAGGCAGCAGUAGGGAAUCUUCCGCAAUGGACGCAAGUCUGACGGAGCAACGCCGCGUGAGUGAAGAAGGUUUUCGGAUCGUAAAACUCUGUUGUUAGAGAAGAACAAGUGCUAGAGUAACUGUUAGCGCCUUGACGGUAUCUAACCAGAAAGCCACGGCUAACUACGUGCCAGCAGCCGCGGUAAUACGUAGGUGGCAAGCGUUGUCCGGAUUUAUUGGGCGUAAAGCGAGCGCAGGCGGUUCCUUAAGUCUGAUGUGAAAGCCCCCGGCUCAACCGGGGAGGGUCAUUGGAAACUGGGGAACUUGAGUGCAGAAGAGGAGAGUGGAAUUCCAUGUGUAGCGGUGAAAUGCGUAGAUAUAUGGAGGAACACCAGUGGCGAAGG
RNAcentral lists this ribosomal RNA (650 nucleotides) under uncultured Bacilli bacterium. RNAcentral describes it as "bacterial SSU rRNA". It matches the Rfam family "Bacterial small subunit ribosomal RNA", at positions 84 to 721 of the family's 1533-position model. Lineage: Bacteria; Bacillati; Bacillota; Bacilli. The record is from RNAcentral.